GUAGUUCGAUGUUCUGCCGUGGCUUUAUGUACGGUACAGGGGGUGCCCUAUGGGCAGAUGACCUGAGACAUCUGUCUGUCUCCCGACAUACAUUGGUGAAACAUUUUAAGAAUAUCUGUAGCAUACAAAAUGUACUGAAAUGCACUUGAUUUGGUCUGUAGUAUACUGUUAAAUACAGUAACUGCAUGGAUCUAACGGUGGCCAUGCUGACUGCUAGUGGGAGCUAUUACAUGUAUGAAGGAUUUACCAUGUUACUGGGACUCUGCUCUGUUACACUGCUGGGCAGUACAGAACACAACUUCUAUAUGUUUUAGUGCAAUGGGUGCUCAAUGAAAACCUUCUUAUACCUUGUGGGGAUUUGGAAAAGUGAUCCUCUACUAUUCAGCCUUUGGUAUUAUCCGUAGGGCAGACUCUGGGAAGAUAAUAACGGGGGUCAUGUAACUAAAGCUUAUUCAUUAUGGAAGGAAAGCUAUUUAAUAAUCAAAUUCUUCACUGUUUUUAACACCUUUGCUUGCUGUUAGAGAAUGGAAACCUUCUUGUUUACCUCCAGGGGCCAUCCUGAUCAUGUUCUGCUGAUACAGCUACGUGGUUCGUUACAGUAGAUACCCUACAAGCUUUGUAUCUGCGUCAUUUGGACAGGAUCAGGAUAGGCUUUCAACAUCUGGAUCUAAAUUAAGUUGUUCCUGUUCUCUGAGAGAAAGCAGAGGUCUUAAAAAUGGUGAGGAACAGCAAUAUAAAGUACUGUGUAUUAGGAAGUUGUGAUGAUUACUACCAUAGCUAAAGGGAGCAUAGAACUGCUUUUGUGGCAUUUUCUAAGUGUCAUCUAUCCACAACACAGGUGCUAAUGUCUGAUUGCUGGGGCCACACCAUUUGGACCUCACACUAUUAUGUGAUUCAUAAGCUUCUAGAGUUAUUAUUUCAUGUAGAAUUCAAUUAAUUCCUUACACAGGUCAGUAGGUCCUCUUACACCCUAAUACACCCUGGUAGUGUUCCAUUAGAGAAGCACAAAUAAAGGUUAAAAAUCUCCAUCAAUGAAAGUUCCUGAAGUGUACUUUAACACAUUAUAGAAGACCAGAAGAGCCCCUUGAAAGGCUGGGCUCCACUUGAAAGACAUUGAGGGAGAUUUCUCAACAGUGGUGUAAAGGGAAACUGACUGAGUUGCUCAUAGCAACUAAUCAGAUUCCACCUUUCAUUUUUCAGCAUUCUUUUGGAAAA
Molecule: long non-coding RNA, 1215 nt
Organism: Bufo bufo (common toad)
Lineage: Eukaryota; Metazoa; Chordata; Amphibia; Anura; Bufonidae
Exons: 2
Source: RefSeq, a predicted model, not a curated record